CAGUCGCCGCGGGAAUACGGAGGGUGCAAGCGUUAAUCGGAAUUACUGGGCGUAAAGCGCACGCAGGCGGUCUGUCAAGUCAGAUGUGAAAUCCCCGGGCUUAACCUGGGAACUGCAUUUGAAACUGGCAGGCUAGAGUCUUGUAGAGGGGGGUAGAAUUCCAGGUGUAGCGGUGAAAUGCGUAGAGAUCUGGAGGAAUACCGGUGGCGAAGGCGGCCCCCUGGACAAAGACUGACGCUCAGGUGCGAAAGCGUGGGGAGCAAACAGGAUUAGAUACCCCAGUAGUCCCUGUCUCUUAUAC
This 301-nucleotide ribosomal RNA is filed under the name uncultured bacterium. Its description in RNAcentral is "partial 16S ribosomal RNA". It matches the Rfam family "Bacterial small subunit ribosomal RNA", at positions 509 to 807 of the family's 1533-position model. The record is from RNAcentral.